Molecule: transfer RNA, 58 nt
Filed under: Mus musculus (house mouse)
Lineage: Eukaryota; Metazoa; Chordata; Mammalia; Rodentia; Muridae
Rfam family: tRNA
About the family: Transfer RNA (tRNA) molecules are approximately 80 nucleotides in length. Their secondary structure includes four short double-helical elements and three loops (D, anti-codon, and T loops).
Source: Rfam by way of RNAcentral
UAGCUCAGUGGGUAAAGUGUUUGCCUUGUAAGCAUGAGGACCUGAGUUCAAACCCCAG